AAACGCCCGAAAUGUCAAACGUGUUUGUGUUUUUUUCUACAGUUUCUUUCAUCUGUUUUCGCGUUUUUGAAGCAAAAUCGUGAACAUCCAUCGCUUGGGACUCAAUUUUGCAGCACAAUGCUCAUACAAUCGCGGCUGGACGGCCACAUCGACCCGAAUCCCGACGUCCAAGGCAGCGCCGGGAGAGCCGCAAGAACGGCUAGAAUUCCUGGAAAGAUCAAAUUCAAGGCCGAUCUGGAUGGCCUUGAUUCAAGUGGAUAUGGGAUCGAGGCAUUUUUGUAAAGGCAAACACGACUGGAAGUACCGAGAAUUAUGCUGACAUUGUGAUUUUGGCAUGCACGAGGUUACAUGAUCACAAACUGAACGACUAGGUUUGUAAAUACUUCAAAUCAAGCGGACCAUGAUCAAACUAAUGGCUCAGCAGUUUAAAAUCAUUCAUAACUUUCGGUUUGAUAAAACGGUGAAUUUGGCACGUAGGUUAUUUUUUCUUCCAGCCCUUAUUUAUGCAAUAAUCGUUAGAUUAGCAUCUACAAGACUAGUUGUUCCCAGUUUAUUUUGUAUAUUUCUCUGUUGGAUUUAGAAUUUGACAUUAUUUACAAAUUCUUUGCCUUUGACAGUUUAAAUGGUUCACUAUAGUUUUCCUUUCUGGUCAAACAAACGUACUUUUUGAAUAUUUUCAGGUGCUAAAUUUGACCAUAAAGUUAAUCAAAGGUGUACCUUUUUAUGCUUCGUCAGGCUAUAAAGUAUUUGAAAAUUACAUCAGAUUCUAGAUUCAACGGAGCAAAAAAAAUUUUUGGUUGGGUAAAUUUACGUAGAUUUCAUCGGAAAUUUACAUGUUUUCGUGACAUUUUUGUUCGGCGCGUUUACAUCGGAUGGCAUUUAAAUUUCCGAUGAACUUCAUGUAAAUUAGCAUCAUUAAUGACGUGCACUUUUGGUACAUCAUAAAUGAUGUAAAUUUACCCAAUUU
Culex pipiens pallens (northern house mosquito) is the source of this 967-nucleotide long non-coding RNA. RefSeq lists it as uncharacterized. The transcript has 3 exons. The record is from RefSeq and is a predicted model, not a curated record. NCBI's taxonomy places the organism in Eukaryota, Metazoa, Arthropoda, Insecta, Diptera, Culicidae.